ACACUAACGCAGCAAAAGGGCACCCGGGGGAUGCCUUGGCUUCUACAGGCGAAGAAGGACGUGGCAAGCGACGAAACGCUGCGGGGACCAGCUGGCAUGGGUUGAUCCGCAGGUGUCCGAAUGGGGAAACCCGGCGGUCUGAAGGACCGUCAUCACGCUUUAUUGCGUGAGGCUCACCCGCUGAACUGAAACAUCUAAGUAGGCGGAGGAAAAGAAAACAAUCAGUGAUGGCGUCAGUAGUGGCGAGCGAACGCGUCGAAGCCCAAACCGGUCUGGUUACGGCCAGGUCGGGGUUGUAGGACUCGACAUCAAACAAAUGGACAAACAUGAAUGGUCUGGGAAGGCCAACCGCAGGGGGUGAGAGUCCCGUAAUGGUAGGUUUCGUUUGUGGGUUGAGUAUCCUGAGUAGGGGGGAGCCGGAGGGACUCCCUCUGAAGCUGGCAGCACCAUCUGCCAAGGCUAAACACUGUAGAAGACCGAUAGGGAAGAGUACCGUGAGGGAAAGGUGAAAAGGACUGGGCGUACCAGGGUGAAAUAGAACCUGAAACCGGGUGCUUACAAGCGGUUGGAGCUUCGUUGGUGGAGUGACAGCGUGCCUUUUGCAUAAUGAGCCUACGAGUAACGGUCACUAGCGAGGUUAAGCGUGUUGACAUGCGGAGCCGAAGCGAAAGCGAGUCUGAAUAGGGCGAUUUAGUUAGUGGCUGUUGACGCGAAACUUGGUGAUCUACCCAUGGCCAGGUUGAAGGGGUGGUAACACACCGUGGAGGACCGCACCGAUAAACGUUGAAAAGUUUCCGGAUGAGUUGUGGGUAGGGGUGAAAGGCCAAUCAAACUGAGAAAUAGCUCGUACUCUCCGAAAUGUUUUUAGGAACAGCGUCUAAUGUUACCCCAUGUGAGGUAGAGCGACCGAUUGGAUGCGGGGGUGUCAUAGCCUACCAACUUCAGUCGAACUCCGAAUGCGCAUGGGGGUGUUGGGCAGUGAGGGGCAGGGUGCUAAGGUCCUGCUCCGAGAGGGGAACAACCCAGACCAUCCGCUAAGGUCCCCAAGUGUGUGCUAAGUUGAACAAAGGUGGUCCGGCUGCCGAGACAGCCAGGAGGUUAGCUUGGAAGCAGCUAUUCCUUUAAAGAGUGCGUAACAGCUCACUGGUCGAGCGGGGCGGGCAUCGAUAAUAAACGGGCAUCAAGCACAUCACCGAAGCGGUGGAUCAUACAGUUUUACUGUAUUGAUGGUAGGAGAGCAUACUGCGGGGGGUGAAGUUGAAGCGUGAGCUUUGGUGGACCGCGUGGUAGAGCAAAUGUAGGCAUAAGUAACGAGAAUGAGGGUGGGAACCCCUCACGCCGUAAGACUAAGGGUUCCCGGGCGACGCCAGUCAACCCGGGGUUAGUCGGGACCUAAUGGCUGAGCGAAAGCGGAGGUCAGAUGGACAGCAGGUUAAUACUCCUGCACUACCCUGUAGUGCAAUACACUGACAAAUUGACGGAGAGAGCGCGUCCUGCGGGAAUAGGGCGCUGAGCGGCGGCUUCGGCCAAAGCGAGGGCUCAAAGUUGGUUUCAAGAAAAGGUGUAGAAGCUCUAGCUAUAGGGUACCCGUACCGUAAACCGACACAGGUAGUUGGGGCGAAUAGCCCAAGGCGCACGAGAGAAUCAUGGCCAAGGAACUCGGCAAGAUGACCCUGUAACUUCGGGAGAAGGGGGGCCUCCUCAGUGGCAACACUGAGAGGUUGCAGAGCAAAGGCCCAGGCGACUGUUUACCAAAAACACAGGACUCUGCCAAAUCGAAAGAUGACGCAUAGGGUCUGACACCUGCCCGGUGCUGGAAGGUUAAGGGGGGGGCUUAGGGGGUAACCUCGAAGGUCUGAACUGAAGCCCCAGUAAACGGCGGCCGUAACUAUAACGGUCCUAAGGUAGCGAAAUUCCUUGUCGGGUAAGUUCCGACCUGCACGAAUGGUGUAACGAUCUGGGCACUGUCUCAGCCGGUAGUUUGACUGGGGUGGUCGCCUCCGAAAGGGUAACGGAGGCUUCCCAAGGUUUGCUCAGGCCGGACGGUAAUCGGUCGUGGAGUGCAAUAGCAGAAGCAAGCUUGACAGUGAGGCAAACAGGCCGAUCUGGUACGAAAGUAGGGUAUAGUGAUCCGGUGGUGCUGCAUGGGUGGGCCAUCGCUCAAAGGAUAAAAGGUACGCCGGGGAUAACAGGCUGAUCUCCCCCAAGAGCUCACAUCGACGGGGAGGUUUGGCACCUCGAUGUCGGCUCGUCACAUCCUG
This 2261-nucleotide ribosomal RNA is filed under the name Pseudomonas sp. RNAcentral describes it as "partial 23S ribosomal RNA". It matches the Rfam family "Bacterial large subunit ribosomal RNA", at positions 1 to 2549 of the family's 2925-position model. Lineage: Bacteria; Pseudomonadati; Pseudomonadota; Gammaproteobacteria; Pseudomonadales; Pseudomonadaceae. The record is from RNAcentral.